Molecule: ribosomal RNA, 253 nt
Filed under: uncultured bacterium
Lineage: Bacteria
Description: partial 16S ribosomal RNA
Rfam family: Bacterial small subunit ribosomal RNA
Source: RNAcentral
GACAGAGGGUGCAAACGUUGUUCGGAAUUACUGGGCGUAAAGCGCGUGUAGGCUGCUCCGCAAGUCGGGUGUGAAAGCCCUGGGCUCAACCCAGGAAGUGCACUCGAAACUGCGGAGCUCGAGUCCUGGAGAGGAAGGCGGAAUUCUCGGUGUAGAGGUGAAAUUCGUAGAUAUCUGGAGGAACACCGGUGGCGAAGGCGGCAUCCUGGACCGACACUGACGCUGAGGAGCGAAAGCCAGGGGAGCAAACGGG